Gadus morhua (Atlantic cod) is the source of this 1287-nucleotide long non-coding RNA. RefSeq lists it as uncharacterized. NCBI's taxonomy places the organism in Eukaryota, Metazoa, Chordata, Actinopteri, Gadiformes, Gadidae. The record is from RefSeq and is a predicted model, not a curated record. The transcript has 3 exons.
AUUACAGCGUUAAUUUGUUCAACUAUAUGAAACUUUGUUUUAGGUGUUUUAAAAUGAUACCAAAUUUAUUUCCGAUUAUUCCAACGGCAGAAUACAAGGCACAGGGAACUUUGAGGUUCGUAAACGCUAUUUAGAGGUGCGUAAACGCUAUUUCCUUAAUUCCAGAGGUGCGUAAACGGUGUUUACGUGCGUUUGACCCUCCACUACAGUCCUGGUAACAAUCAAUUAUUACUGAGAGAAAUAUAUAUUCAAAUUCUAGGUACAAGUCGAGAGAUAUGUCAGAAGUUCAUGAAGACUCUCAAAGCAGCAUUUGAUGCAACCAGUCUUUUUGUACAGGUCAAAUACGCAUACAAUUAAACAUAUAACUCUGUUACUCAUACAUUCAAGAAGGCUACACUGCUCGAUUAUUGUCGUUUUAAAAGGCGACUGACAGAUUGUGUCAGACAUACAACCAACCUACCUGUUCAGAACGAUAUAUAGGCCUAUAGGCUACGUUAUUAUCAUGUCAGCGUUGAUCUGAAUGAGCACGCGAUACAGCGGCUCGUGGCGUGACAGCCUUUAAAUACCAGCCCAGACGACACGAGCGUCAUUCCACAGAUGAAGACAGUCGGAGACCAUCCAGAGAACUCGUUGCUUCGGUUUGAUUGACGUCUAUUGGCCCUGCAGCCUGCUGUUUUUUUUACCAUCCAAACCCCCCUACCCCAUCUUUCUCGCUACCCCCAAACCCCAUCUCCUCUUAUGGCGUUUUUGAUGUCUCUUUUUUGAGACCGCUCAGUAAAACGGCUUGCCUAUCCUCUACCUGUCUCUACCCUAUUUCUCUCUACCUUAUUUACCGCUAUCAUUACGGCAUUCUCAUUUCUAAAGUACUUGAAAUGAACAAAAAAAACGAACUUGAAAAACCCUGAGCCAAUGAAAAACCCAGAGCCAUUGAAAAAAACCCAGAAACUUGAAAAAAAAAAAAAAUCUUUCUUUUUGAAAUAGAAAGUACCAUCUCACUACAAACUGGUUUGUUUUGAGAAAUCUCCUCCUGUACCUAUUGUCACACUCUGUACCUACUGUCACACUCCCUGUAGUUCACGCUGAAGAGAUGCCAAAGAAAAGCAAAAGAUCCCAAGCGGCUAAAGUAAGGUGGAGUAAGUCUGGUGAGUUUCCGCUCAAAACACAAGCUGAACAUGUGCAGAAUUGUGAUCCUGACAGCAACAGAGAAGUACAUUUUCCUGACCAUUCUCAUGCUAAUGUGACAUGUGUGUUAGCAUCCUACAGUCAGAGCCAUCAUAGAUAUAUUGA